CCGACGGUGAGGGGUGAAGGCUGGGGGCGCAAACCGGAUUAGAUACCCGGGUAGUCCCAGCAGUAAACGAUGCCAGCUAUGUGUUGCCGGAACCAUGGGUUCCAGCAGUGCCGAAGGGAAGCCGUGAAGCUGGCCACCUGGGAAGUACGGUCGCAAGGCUGAAACUUAAAGGAAUUGGCGGGGGAGUACCACAACCGGUGGAGCCUGCGGUUUAAUUGGAUACAACGCCGGGAAUCUUACCGGAGGGGACAGCAGUAUGAAGGCCAGGCUAAAGACCUUGCCAGAUCAGCUGAGAGGAGGUGCAUGGCCGUCGCCAGUUCGUACCGUGAGGCAUCCUGUUUAGUCAGGCAACGAUCGAGACCCGCAGUCUUAUUUGCCAGCAUGCCCUUUGGGGUGUAUGGGUACAAUAAGACGACCGCCAGCGCUAAGCUGGAGGAAGGAGCGGGCUACGGUAGGUCAGCAUGCCCCGAAUCCUCCGGGAUACACGCGGGCUACAAUGGUCAGGACAAAAGGUACCGACCUCGAAAGAGUGAGGUAAUCCACAAACCUGAUCUCAGUCCGGAUCGAAGGCUGCAACUCGCCCUUCGUGAAGAUGGAAUCGGUAGUAAUCGUGACUCAAAAUGUCACGGUGAAUAUGUCCCUGCUCCUU
This 649-nucleotide ribosomal RNA is filed under the name uncultured archaeon. RNAcentral's name for it is "bacterial SSU rRNA". It matches the Rfam family "Archaeal small subunit ribosomal RNA", at positions 691 to 1338 of the family's 1478-position model. The record is from RNAcentral.